UAGGGAAUCUUCCGCAAUGGGCGAAAGCCUGACGGAGCAACGCCGCGUGAGUGAUGAAGGUCUUCGGAUCGUAAAACUCUGUUAUUAGGGAAGAACAAAUGUGUAGUAAAUAUGCCCGUCUUGACGGUACCUAAUCAGAAAGCCACGGCUAACUACGUGCCAGCAGCCGCGGUAAUACGUAGGUGGCAAGCGUUAUCCGGAAUUAUUGGGCGUAAAGCGCGCGUAGGCGGUUUUUUAAGUCUGAUGUGAAAGCCCACGGCUCAACCGUGGAGGGUCAUUGGAAACUGGAAAACUUGAGUGCAGAAGAGGAAAGUGGAAUUCCAUGUGUAGCGGUGAAAUGCGCAGAGAUAUGGAGGAACACCAGUGGCGAAGGCGACUUUCUGGUCUGUAACUGACGCUGAUGUGCGAAAGCGUGGGGAUCAAACAGG
This 428-nucleotide ribosomal RNA is filed under the name Actinomycetes bacterium. RNAcentral describes it as "Actinobacteria bacterium partial 16S ribosomal RNA". It matches the Rfam family "Bacterial small subunit ribosomal RNA", at positions 355 to 776 of the family's 1533-position model. Lineage: Bacteria; Bacillati; Actinomycetota; Actinomycetes. The record is from RNAcentral.